UACAUAACACGCUGAAUUCACCAGAUCUCGUCCGAUCAUCGCGGUUAAGGAGCGUCGGGUGCGGUCACUACUUGGAUGGGUGACAGCCUGGGAGCACCUCGUG
Molecule: non-coding RNA, 103 nt
Organism: Eumeta japonica
Lineage: Eukaryota; Metazoa; Arthropoda; Insecta; Lepidoptera; Psychidae
Source: the annotation of a GenBank genome assembly